CCAGGUUUCCAUGUGCUGUAGCCACCACUUGAUUUCGUCUUUGGCAGCACAGUCGAGAGGAACAGAAUCUGAGUAUGAGUGCCCCAAACGAAGGUAUUUUGCCUAAUCGUUGAAGUGCCCUAUAGUGUAAGGGUCCGGGGAAGAUGUCCUGAAUUGACGCCGGGAGGAGGCCGACAAUCCUGGCCAGCUGUCUCAAAGUAAGGACAGGACGUGCUAGCGUCCGC
This is a non-coding RNA of Pelobates cultripes (western spadefoot toad), 224 nucleotides long. NCBI's taxonomy places the organism in Eukaryota, Metazoa, Chordata, Amphibia, Anura, Pelobatidae. The record is from the annotation of a GenBank genome assembly.